GAUGAACGCUGGCGGCGUGCCUAAUACAUGCAAGUCGAGCGAACAGACGAGGAGCUUGCUCCUCUGACGUUAGCGGCGGACGGGUGAGUAACACGUGGAUAACCUACCUAUAAGACUGGGAUAACUUCGGGAAACCGGAGCUAAUACCGGAUAAUAUAUUGAACCGCAUGGUUCAAUAGUGAAAGACGGUUUUGCUGUCACUUAUAGAUGGAUCCGCGCCGCAUUAGCUAGUUGGUAAGGUAACGGCUUACCAAGGCAACGAUGCGUAGCCGACCUGAGAGGGGGGUCGGCCACAGGGGAAGUGGAAACCGGUCCAGAACCCGACGGGGGGCAGAAGGAGGGAAUCUUCCGCAAUGGGCGAAAGCUUGACGGAGCAACGCCGCGGGAGUGAUGAAGGUCUUCGGAUCGUAAAACGCUGUUAUUAGGGAAGAACAAAUGUGUAAGUAAAAAUGCACGUCUUGACGGUACCGAAUCAAAAGGCCAGGGCUAACUACGU
Molecule: ribosomal RNA, 496 nt
Filed under: uncultured bacterium
Lineage: Bacteria
Description: partial 16S ribosomal RNA
Rfam family: Bacterial small subunit ribosomal RNA
Source: RNAcentral